RNAcentral lists this ribosomal RNA (1304 nucleotides) under Salmonella enterica. Its description in RNAcentral is "partial 23S ribosomal RNA". It matches the Rfam family "Bacterial large subunit ribosomal RNA", at positions 1520 to 2802 of the family's 2925-position model. RNAcentral also lists the same sequence under 1 other name. The record is from RNAcentral. Lineage: Bacteria; Pseudomonadati; Pseudomonadota; Gammaproteobacteria; Enterobacterales; Enterobacteriaceae.
GUAGGUGUGUGUUCCAGGUAAAUCCGGUUCACUUUAACACUGAGGCGUGACGACGAGGCACUACGGUGCUGAAGCAACAAAUGCCCUGCUUCCAGGAAAAGCCUCUAAGCAUCAGGUAACAUCAAAUCGUACCCCAAACCGACACAGGUGGUCAGGUAGAGAAUACCAAGGCGCUUGAGAGAACUCGGGUGAAGGAACUAGGCAAAAUGGUGCCGUAACUUCGGGAGAAGGCACGCUGACACGUAGGUGAAGUGAUUUACUCAUGGAGCUGAAGUCAGUCGAAGAUACCAGCUGGCUGCAACUGUUUAUUAAAAACACAGCACUGUGCAAACACGAAAGUGGACGUAUACGGUGUGACGCCUGCCCGGUGCCGGAAGGUUAAUUGAUGGGGUCAGCGCAAGCGAAGCUCCUGAUCGAAGCCCCGGUAAACGGCGGCCGUAACUAUAACGGUCCUAAGGUAGCGAAAUUCCUUGUCGGGUAAGUUCCGACCUGCACGAAUGGCGUAAUGAUGGCCAGGCUGUCUCCACCCGAGACUCAGUGAAAUUGAACUCGCUGUGAAGAUGCAGUGUACCCGCGGCAAGACGGAAAGACCCCGUGAACCUUUACUAUAGCUUGACACUGAACAUUGAGCCUUGAUGUGUAGGAUAGGUGGGAGGCUUUGAAGUGUGGACGCCAGUCUGCAUGGAGCCGACCUUGAAAUACCACCCUUUAAUGUUUGAUGUUCUAACGUGGACCCGUUACCCGGGUUGCGGACAGUGUCUGGUGGGUAGUUUGACUGGGGCGGUCUCCUCCUAAAGAGUAACGGAGGAGCACGAAGGUUGGCUAAUCCUGGUCGGACAUCAGGAGGUUAGUGCAAUGGCAUAAGCCAGCUUGACUGCGAGCGUGACGGCGCGAGCAGGUGCGAAAGCAGGUCAUAGUGAUCCGGUGGUUCUGAAUGGAAGGGCCAUCGCUCAACGGAUAAAAGGUACUCCGGGGAUAACAGGCUGAUACCGCCCAAGAGUUCAUAUCGACGGCGGUGUUUGGCACCUCGAUGUCGGCUCAUCACAUCCUGGGGCUGAAGUAGGUCCCAAGGGUAUGGCUGUUCGCCAUUUAAAGUGGUACGCGAGCUGGGUUUAGAACGUCGUGAGACAGUUCGGUCCCUAUCUGCCGUGGGCGCUGGAGAACUGAGGGGGGCUGCUCCUAGUACGAGAGGACCGGAGUGGACGCAUCACUGGUGUUCGGGUUGUCAUGCCAAUGGCACUGCCCGGUAGCUAAAUGCGGAAGAGAUAAGUGCUGAAAGCAUCUAAGCACGAAACUUGCCCCGA